UGAAAGGAUAACUUGUCAACGUGUGUAUCAACGAUAUAACGAGUAUUGAAACCACAUAAACUAACCUAGCUUCGGUUUGAUUGUCUUCUAAAGGUCUAAUAUUUAUACAUUGUUUAAGCACGAUAACCGCGACAAUCUUGGCAAUUGCACGUGCUUUUUGUUUCUCAUGGCGUGGGAAGACGGAACUUUGCAUAAUAUGAACUAUCAACAAUCAACUAUCAUGAAUCUAAUGCAGAAACCAAAAUUAUUUUGUGAGAUUUGAAUAAGUACAUUGUAAAAUGUCAGAACUCAUAAUUUAUCAGAAACAGUAUUGUUGAUAAGAAUAGUGUCAGGUGGUUUUAAACAAAAUUUCUUAUUCCUUUAAAA
This is a long non-coding RNA of Xenia sp. Carnegie-2017, 366 nucleotides long. RefSeq lists it as uncharacterized. Lineage: Eukaryota; Metazoa; Cnidaria; Anthozoa; Malacalcyonacea; Xeniidae. The transcript has 2 exons. The record is from RefSeq and is a predicted model, not a curated record.